RNAcentral lists this ribosomal RNA (253 nucleotides) under uncultured prokaryote. RNAcentral's name for it is "partial 16S ribosomal RNA". It matches the Rfam family "Bacterial small subunit ribosomal RNA", at positions 524 to 776 of the family's 1533-position model. The record is from RNAcentral.
GACGUAGGGGGCCAGCGUUGCUCGGAAUUACUGGGCGUAAAGGGCGCGUAGGCGGCUCGGCAAGUUGGAUGUGAAAGCCCAGGGCUCAACCCUGGAAUUGCAUUCAAGACUGCCUUGCUUGAAUUCGGUAGAGGUUGGUGGAAUUCCCAGUGUAGAGGUGAAAUUCGUAGAGAUUGGGAAGAACACCCGUGGCGAAGGCGGCCAACUGGACCGACAUUGACGCUGAGGCGCGAAAGCGUGGGGAUCAAACAGG